Molecule: ribosomal RNA, 239 nt
Filed under: uncultured bacterium
Lineage: Bacteria
Description: partial 16S ribosomal RNA
Rfam family: Bacterial small subunit ribosomal RNA
Source: RNAcentral
UGAGGAACAUGACCUUCGGCGGGGGAUAGCCGGCCCAACGGCCGGGUAAUACCGCGUACGACCACUUUGGGACAUCCCUCGGUGGUGAAAGCAGCAAUGCGCCGAUGGAGUGCCUCGCGGCCUAUCAGCUAGUUGGUGAGGUAACGGCUCACCAAGGCGACGACGGGUANCUGGUCUGAGAGGACGAUCAGCCACACGUGGGACUGAGACACGGCCCAGACCUCCGUAACGGGGAGCAG